GACGAACGCUGGCGGCGUGCUUAACACAUGCAAGUCGAACGGAAAGGCCCUGCUUUUGUGGGGUGCUCGAGUGGCGAACGGGUGAGUAACACGUGAGUAACCUGCCCUUGACUUUGGGAUAACUUCAGGAAACUGGGGCUAAUACCGGAUAGGAGCUCCUGCUGCAUGGUGGGGGUUGGAAAGUUUCGGCGGUUGGGGAUGGACUCGCGGCUUAUCAGCUUGUUGGUGGGGUAGUGGCUUACCAAGGCUUUGACGGGUAGCCGGCCUGAGAGGGUGACCGGCCACAUUGGGACUGAGAUACGGCCCAGACUCCUACGGGAGGCAGCAGUGGGGAAUAUUGCACAAUGGGCGGAAGCCUGAUGCGGCAACGCCGCGUGCGGGAUGGCGGCCUUCGGGUUGUAAACCGCUUUCGCCUGUGACGAAGCGUGAGUGACGGUAAUGGGUAAAGAAGCACCGGCUAACUACGUG
RNAcentral lists this ribosomal RNA (468 nucleotides) under uncultured bacterium. RNAcentral's name for it is "partial 16S ribosomal RNA". It matches the Rfam family "Bacterial small subunit ribosomal RNA", at positions 28 to 507 of the family's 1533-position model. The record is from RNAcentral.